Molecule: long non-coding RNA, 531 nt
Organism: Passer domesticus (house sparrow)
Lineage: Eukaryota; Metazoa; Chordata; Aves; Passeriformes; Passeridae
Exons: 5
Source: RefSeq, a predicted model, not a curated record
GGGGAAAUGGCAGCCAUAUCCAUCAGCCAGAGACACUGGGACUUGAGAAAGUGGCUGUUCCUAAUAUCAAUUGACAUUGCCACUCUAAAGGGGAAAAGAAAAAGCAUCCUUGUGUAAAUAUGGAAUAAUUUUCAGUGGAUUUGGGAUGAUUUCCAGAAGUUAGGAAGAAGGGGGAGAGGAAGAGGAGUGACAAGUGACAAUGUGGUUUGGAGAGCAUAAAUUACUGACCACCUUUUCUUAACCACAAUAAGUACCUUAGAUGCAGGAAAAUACAAUUCUUGGGAAGGUGAUCUCAUCAACAAAGAUUACUUUAUUUCAAAUGAACUUGCAACUACGUUUGAUUAAGCAGCAGGUGGUGGAACAUUUUUUGAAAUGGACCAUUUGUUGUAUUAAUAAGCAGGUGAAGGAUGGGACACAUUAGUUCAAAGCAAACAAAGGAGGAGAGAAAUUAGUAGCAAGCUAAGUUCAUUUUCCCCCAGUUCAAAGCUGAAAAGUCUGAGAAAACAAGUGAUUCUGGGCUGACAGAUGACC